AGGCUGGGGAUAACAUUUGGAAACAGAUGCUGAUACCGAAUAAAACUUAAUGUCGCAUGACACAAAGUUAAAAGGCGCUUCGGCGUCACCUAGAGAUGGAUCCGCGGUGCAUGAGUUAGUUGGUGGGGUAAAGGCCUACCAAGACAAUGAGGCAUAGCCGAGUUGAGAGACUGAUCGGCCACAUUGGGACUGAGACACGGCCCAAACUCCAACGGGAGGCUGCAGUAGGGAAUCUUCCACAAUGGGCGAAAGCCUGAUGGAGCAACGCCGCGUGUGUGAUGAAGGCUUUCGGGUCGUAAAGCACUGUUGUAUGGGAAGAACAGCUAGAAUAGGAAAUGAUUUUAGUUUGACGGUACCAUACCAGAAAGGGACGGCUAAAUACGUGCCAGCAGCCGCGGUAAUACGUAUGUCCCGAGCGUUAUCCGGAUUUAUUGGGCGUAAAGCGAGCGCAGACGGUUUAUUAAGUCUGAUGUGAAAGCCCGGAGCUCAACUCCGGAAUGGCAUUGGAAACUGGUUAACUUGAGUGCAGUAGAGGUAAGUGGAACUCCAUGUGUAGCGGUGGAAUGCGUAGAUAUGUGGAAGAACACCAGUGGCCAAGGCGGCUUACUGGACUGCAACUGACGUUGA
This 627-nucleotide ribosomal RNA is filed under the name uncultured bacterium. RNAcentral's name for it is "bacterial SSU rRNA". It matches the Rfam family "Bacterial small subunit ribosomal RNA", at positions 134 to 749 of the family's 1533-position model. The record is from RNAcentral.